GUCCAGAAGGCUGCAGUCUUUCCUCCAAGAAAAAAAAAAGGCUGCUUCAACCCCUGCUGCCAGCAAAGUUGCGAUUCCCUCUGCUGGCUAUCUCGAAUAGCAAAGCGGUUUUUGUAGCAAAGCUGCUGCCGCUGCCGCUGAACCCAGGGAACUCAGAUGUGGGCGGUGGAUGAUUCCUUAUCCUUCCCUCCAUCCACCCCGCACAAGAGCUGCCUUCUCUGCUCUGCCUGCCAAGUUUCAAGCCCACUCCUCAAUGGGGCAAGCGAGUGCUGAUAUGGAGGAAGCACUGCAGACAGCUGAAAACAGCCGCCUUGAACAGUCACUUGGACCAGCCACCUUGAACAGUCACCUGGACCAGCCGCCUUGAACAGUCACCUGGACCAGCCGCCUUGAACAGUCACCUGGACCAGCCACUGACUUGUCAUGUGUGAGAAGUAAACCUUGGCUAGAUUAUACUAUUUGAGAUCUAGUAACUUAGCAGAGCAUCACCCAGCCUACCCUAAGCACACAUUCCUUGUAGCUUCAUUCUAUAUUCGUUAGUUUCUUUGAGUAUCUCCCCCACUAAUAUCUAAGCUCCACAAGGGAAGGGAUAUAUCUAAUCCAUUCACUGUUGUAUCCCCAGCACCUAAAACAGUCCUUGGAAUGUAAUACACAUUUGAUAAAUGUGUAGUAAAUAAAUGAAUAAAUGUU
This is a long non-coding RNA of Bubalus bubalis (water buffalo), 690 nucleotides long. RefSeq lists it as uncharacterized. The record is from RefSeq and is a predicted model, not a curated record. NCBI's taxonomy places the organism in Eukaryota, Metazoa, Chordata, Mammalia, Artiodactyla, Bovidae. The transcript is spliced from 2 exons.